Molecule: long non-coding RNA, 2705 nt
Organism: Felis catus (domestic cat)
Lineage: Eukaryota; Metazoa; Chordata; Mammalia; Carnivora; Felidae
Exons: 2
Source: RefSeq, a predicted model, not a curated record
CUUAUAACUGGGAUUUUGUGCCUUUUGGCCCUUUCCUCCAAUUCUCCUUCCUCCCACUUUCGUAUCUUUUGUUAGAUUUUUUUUCCUUUGGUAUUUCAUGUUUACAGAAGUUCUUUUGUGACAGAUAAUACACACGUGAAAGGGCAUAAAAUAUAAAUGUACGGCUUAAUAUAUAAUUAUGAAGGAAGAACACAUGGACCCACUACCCAGGCCAAGAAAAAAUAUGCCAGCAUCCCCAGAAGCCACAAAUGCCUUCCCAGCCAAACCCCUCUCCCUCCACCCAGUCAUCCAUCCAUCCAUCCAUCCAUCAUCCAUCUGUCCACCCAUCCACCCACCCAUUGAGCCAUCCGCCCAUCCAUCCAUCCAUCCAUCCAUCUCUGGGUAUUUCAGAGCUUCCUUGGUCUAUUUGUCUAUCCCUGUGUAAAACCCACACUAUCUUAAUUAUACACACAUUGACUUCUUUGAAAAUUCCUUCCUUUGCUUUUCUUUGGUUUUACCACUUAAGCACAUAUUCCCCAAAACCCUGGUUUAGUUUCUGAACUUUGUACAAAUAGAAUAACACCCUUUGAACUCUUUUGUAUUUUGCUUUUGUUAUUUAACAGUAUGCUUGUAAAUUAUUCACCUUAUUGUGAAUAACUGUAAUGUGUUCAUUUUUAAUGUUGUAUAGUAUUGAUAUAGCAUCAAUGAAAUAAGUUGUGGAUAAAUACCAUUACUUAUCAAUUAUAUUGAUGGACAGUUGAGGGCUUCCCAGUUUGGGCUAUUAAAAAUAGUGCUGCUGUGAACAUUCUUUUACAUGUCUCGUUGCAUUCCUCUUUGUCAGGCAUCAGGUAUCUAUCCAUCCAUCCAUCCACCCAUUCAUCCAUCCAUUUAUCCAUCCACCCAUUCAUCUACUCACCUGUCCGUCCAUCCGUUCAUCCAUCCAUCCUCUCAUCCAUUCAUCCAGCCAUCUCUGGGUGUUUCAGAGCUUCCUUGGUCUAUUUGUCUAUCCUUGUGCAAAACUCACACUUUCUUAAUUAUAUAUGCCUAAUUAUCCUAAUUAUAUGUACAGUUUUAUAAUUAGUCUCGAUAUCCUCCCACCUUGCUCUUCUUCAAGAGUCUCCUGGCUUUUCAUGUUCGAUGCUUACCUCAGCUGUGCACGAUCCUUGCCUAUCAGUUCAUGUAUAAGAGUGGGGCCCGGUGUGAGGCUCAGCCUGUAGUGUGAAACUGAAAGCGCAGUGGAAGAUUGAAAUAAGAAAAUGUUUUGCUGAAACACAUCAAGAGUCCUAUGGAAAACUUGUUGGAGAUGUGCCUACAGAACCCCUAGAUGGACAGGUUCAGUCGGCAGCUGGACAAAUAAAGAUCAGCGCUGGUCUGGGCGUUCCCCAGCGUGUUGGCGGAGGUCACUCACCCCAAGAAAUCUAGCUGUCAAAUGUCCCUCACCUCACCUGGCACAUCUGUUUCCAGAACCCACCCUUCUCUCCCUGCACAGGAUUAUUGUCUUCAAGAAACAUCAAGCAUCUUGGAUGGAAGUGUCAGUGCUGCUCCCCUCAGGCAAAGACACCCAGGCCAAGACCAUUUCCUGCCCUGAAAUUUGGGGCUCUCUGAGGAGAAAGCUUGGUGUACCUCGAGUUGUCCGAGGAUGGGCACCUUGACAAGACUAGGACGAGUGAUGAAGGUGGAUUUUUGUCAUCCAGAGACUCCCAAGGGUUUCUUCCUUCUCCCAGCUUCCUUCCCAGUACCUAGUUUUCCAUUUUGCCUUCUGAUUUUGUAUAUUUUACUCCCACCCCAAAAAACCAAAAGGAAGGGCCCAAAACACGGUCUAAGAAAAAGUGGCCUGCUCUCCUUCUCAAAGCCUGAAAAAUCACAUUUUUCUGACCAUUUGGAUUCAUUUCCGCAAGGACUUGUCGGGACCAAAUACAACAUUUCCUGUAGAAAAUACCUGCUUCGGGAGGGAUCUGUUCUGCCCGGUGGCCCUUCCAUCUCUGUCUCACCUGGACUGGGAACUCUUCAAGGAAACGUCCAGAUUGGGGGCUUCCUUUCAGCAGGGAUGAUGGGAAGUCUUUUGAUAAACUGCAAUGAUUUCCAGGCUGCCCCCCACCCGCUGAUGUACACACUGUUGGCUGCUCUUCUGGAAAAUGGGGAUUAAGCUACGGACAGAGACACAAUCCCUGUAGUCAGUGAGUUUCCAGCCUUCCUCUGGGAAGUGUGGGAAAUGCUGAUGCCCACCUCAAGGGGUUCUGAGAGAGUCUGAUGAGAUAAUGCAAGUAAAAUGCUUAGGCUGGGCUCGAGCACACAGCGAAUGCCCAAUCAGUGUUUUAGUUGCUAUUAUAUGUUCGGGGGUGGGGGGCGGUGUUUGAAAGAGCAUCUGUGGCUCAGGACUUCGACAACCACACUACCAAGAUGCUGGAAACCAGGUGCUGGGGGAAGUAGGGCCGGGAGGAAUGCAAGAAUUCUAGAAUGCUGGUCAUGUCCCCAUGUCGGUUUGGUUUAGCUCAGGGUGUUUUUCCACAUCACUUAUUAGGCAAACUUUUAAAAUGAGAAACUGACAUUCCCUUGCAGAGGCCGAGGGAGGAACUAGAAAGAUUUCAUUUCGCUCCCCAGUCAGGCCUGUGAGGCGGAGAGCCCUCCAAACAUGGCAGCUUUGGUAUGGUUCGUUUUUAUUUUUUUCUGUUUUAUGUAUUGCAAUUAUGUAUAAUAUGUAAAUAUAAAAUUAUGUAUAAAACCUU